CAUGAGCAAUGCACUAUCGAUGUAGCUAUCCGAAGCUAUCAGAAAGUGUUGGACCGUUCUGGACACAUCUGUCUGAUGAGCAAUCCGGUAGCAUUAUGAAGAAUGUCUAUUCAUCUGCUGCACAGCCAUUGGCCACCUUGGACAGUCCUAAGAAAUGUUUGUUUUAUGCUUCUCAAAAGUACAAAGACACCUGGGGAGGAUGUUGACAAAAGACCAGAGGUGAUUGAAGAAUCUGUUCGCGAUGCCACACUCUCCCGUACAAACACAGACCAUGGAAAUGUCUGGUACCUCAGGGAGGCAAACAACACUCCAUUGUCUUCUCAGCAGGUUCUCCCACAAAAAGAUUGUCUCCCAUCUUUUGAAUCACAGACAUCUGAACGACUUACUGCAUUCUAUUUAGAAAAGUUCACAUCCUGAUUGACAACUCUUGACUUUGUCGUGAUCAUUUGAUAAUGAGCUCGUAAUUAUGCUGCAGUGUUUUUCAAACUUGCAAGUAAGGAUUACCUGCAAUUUUGCUCUUUGU
This is a long non-coding RNA of Salarias fasciatus (jewelled blenny), 523 nucleotides long. RefSeq lists it as uncharacterized. Lineage: Eukaryota; Metazoa; Chordata; Actinopteri; Blenniiformes; Blenniidae. The transcript has 3 exons. The record is from RefSeq and is a predicted model, not a curated record.